This is a long non-coding RNA of Fukomys damarensis (Damara mole-rat), 766 nucleotides long. RefSeq lists it as uncharacterized. Lineage: Eukaryota; Metazoa; Chordata; Mammalia; Rodentia; Bathyergidae. The transcript has 3 exons. The record is from RefSeq and is a predicted model, not a curated record.
GAGGGUGUCAAGGAUGGGAUGGGGCAGUGGGCAAGGAGAGCGGGGCGCUCCUCUUUGAAACUUGGUGUCAUACCCUAGGAUUUCGGUCCCCCUUUCAGGGUUCCCGGAGCCCGUGUCUGGGCAGAAGCCCGAUUUCCUCGGGGAACCCUGACUGUUCCUCCCCUGCCCCGAGUGGGGGCAGGGGCCUCCAGUCCAAGGGGAAAGGCUGAGCUUUGAUUUGGAGACUGUAAGACCGAGAUUGGGACUGGGGCCUGAGGUAGAGGGGCGGGGUGGAGGAGGUGCCGCGAGGGCCCGCCCCCACCUAGCUCCGAGGCUCGGCGUAAACAGGGCACCCGCGGGGACACGCUGGAGCUUGCCCGCCCUCCCUGGGGCUCUGGGAUGGAGCCCACCUCAGUACCCGCCCCGCCCUGGUCGCCUGGCACCGGGCGCAGGAGGGGCAGGACCUAGUUUGGAGGGAGAAAUUGAAUCCAGGCCCUUGCACAAGCUAGAAAAAUGCUCUACCAUUGGACUAUAGCCCAGCCCUCCACCCAGCUCUUCACUGGUGGGGAAGUUGGGACUAUGCUUGGAGCUGAUACUGGUCUAGUGAGACCAGUCUAUUGGAGGUUUCCUGCUACCAGAGGAUGGUGUCACUGAGAAAAACUCUACUCCAAGACUCAGGGAUGUGGGACCUGCCUCAAUGAAGCUGUUUGUAGUUCUGUGCUUGUCUGAAGUUACUGUAAACUCUCAACUGGAUUCAAGACUUUUCAUAAAGGUAUUUUAAUUUGUA